This 233-nucleotide non-coding RNA is filed under the name Aneurinibacillus sp. RNAcentral's name for it is "T-box sequence". It matches the Rfam family "T-box leader". Rfam says of the family: Uncharged tRNA acts as the effector for transcription antitermination of genes in the T-box leader family. T-boxes are found upstream of many aminoacyl-tRNA synthetase genes and some amino acid biosynthetic genes usually in Gram-positive bacteria. The anticodon of a specific tRNA base pairs to a specifier sequence within the T-box motif, and the NCCA acceptor tail of the tRNA base pairs to a conserved bulge in the T-box antiterminator hairpin. The record is from RNAcentral. Lineage: Bacteria; Bacillati; Bacillota; Bacilli; Caryophanales; Paenibacillaceae.
UGCAAAACGAUGAUGGGAAGAGUAAUCGCGUGUACUUUUUACAGAGAGCCGGGAUGGGUGGAAACCGGUAAAAGGAGCGGGAUGAAGAUGGCCCCGGAGUUUUUGCUUUCGAGCGCAUGAUGCGUUAGGGGGCAACGUUUCCCGCGUUACGGGAUUGAGCCUGUCUUCUUUUGACUGGAAAGCUAGGAAGACAGGGAAUUUGGGUGGUACCACGAGAGCUUCUCGUCCCAUAU